Molecule: ribosomal RNA, 399 nt
Filed under: uncultured fungus
Lineage: Eukaryota; Fungi
Description: partial small subunit ribosomal RNA
Rfam family: Eukaryotic small subunit ribosomal RNA
Source: RNAcentral
GCUUGUCUCAAAGAUUAAGCCAUGCAUGUCUAAGUACAAGCCUCAGUAAGGUGAAACCGCGAAUGGCUCAUUAAAUCACACCUAAUCUACUGGAAAGUUACUAGUUACUUGGAUAACUGAGGUAAUUCUUGAGCUAAUACAUGCGAAAAAUCUCGACUCACGGAGAGAUGCUUUUAUUAGAUUAAAGACCAAUGCGGGCUUGCCCGGUAUUGUGGUGAAUCAUAAUAACUCCUCGAAUCGCAUGGCCUUGCGCCGGCGAUGUUUCAUUCAAAUUUCUGCCCUAUCAAUUUGAUGGUAGGAUAGAGGCCUACCAUGGUGGUAACGGGUGACGGAGAAUUAGGGUUCGAUUCCGGAGAGGGAGCCUGAGAAACGGCUACCACAUCCAAGGAAGGCAGCAGG